AUUGAACGCUGGCGGAAUGCUUUACACAUGCAAGUCGAGCGGCAGCGCGGCCUUCGGGCUGGCGGCGAGCGGCGAACGGGUGAGUAAUGCAUCGGAACAUGCCCAGUCGUGGGGGAUAACACUUCGAAAGAAGUGCUAAUACCGCAUACGUCCUGAGGGGGAAAGCGGGGGAUCGCAAGACCUCGCGCGAUUGGAGUGGCCGAUGUCAGAUUAGCUAGUUGGUGGGGUAAAAGCCUACCAAGGCGACGAUCUGUAGCUGGUCUGAGAGGAUGAUCAGCCACACUGGGACUGAGACACGGCCCAGACUCCUACGGGAGGCAGCAGUGGGGAAUUUUGGACAAUGGGGGCAACCCUGAUCCAGCCAUUCCGCGUGAGUGAAGAAGGCCUUCGGGUUGUAAAGCUCUUUCGGCAGGAACGAAACGGUGGGCUCUAACAUAGUCCGCUAAUGACGGUACCUGAAGAAGAAGCACCGGCUAACUACGUG
Molecule: ribosomal RNA, 484 nt
Filed under: uncultured bacterium
Lineage: Bacteria
Description: partial 16S ribosomal RNA
Rfam family: Bacterial small subunit ribosomal RNA
Source: RNAcentral